Photobacterium gaetbulicola Gung47 is the source of this 87-nucleotide non-coding RNA. NCBI's taxonomy places the organism in Bacteria, Pseudomonadati, Pseudomonadota, Gammaproteobacteria, Vibrionales, Vibrionaceae. The record is from Rfam.
CUAGUGCAGCAGUGAUGCUGCGUGACGGUUAAUAAGAAGUCAGCAGAAGGCAUAGUACCUUGGGGAAGUACAACCCAAGGGAAGGCC